CAGCAGCCACGGGAAUACAGAGGGUGCGAGCGUUAAUCGGAUUUACUGGGCGUAAAGCGUGCGUAGGCGGCUUCUUAAGUCGGAUGUGAAAUCCCUGAGCUUAACUUAGGAAUUGCAUUCGAUACUGGGAAGCUAGAGUAUGGGAGAGGAUGGUAGAAUUCCAGGUGUAGCGGUGAAAUGCGUAGAGAUCUGGAGGAAUACCGAUGGCGAAGGCAGCCAUCUGGCCUAAUACUGACGCUGAGGUACGAAAGCAUGGGGAGCAAACAGGAUCAGAUACCCGAGUAGUCCCUGUCUCUUAUAC
RNAcentral lists this ribosomal RNA (301 nucleotides) under uncultured bacterium. RNAcentral's name for it is "partial 16S ribosomal RNA". It matches the Rfam family "Bacterial small subunit ribosomal RNA", at positions 509 to 807 of the family's 1533-position model. The record is from RNAcentral.